CCCUACGGGGCAUAAGAUCCCUUGAAGAGUACAAGGUAGAUAGGCGGAAGGUGUAAGUGUGGUAACACACUCAGCUGAUCCGUACUAAUAGAUCGAAGGCUUGUCCUUAUCUUUU
Molecule: ribosomal RNA, 115 nt
Filed under: Lachnospiraceae bacterium
Lineage: Bacteria; Bacillati; Bacillota; Clostridia; Lachnospirales; Lachnospiraceae
Description: partial 23S ribosomal RNA
Rfam family: Bacterial large subunit ribosomal RNA
Source: RNAcentral